This 792-nucleotide ribosomal RNA is filed under the name uncultured bacterium. Its description in RNAcentral is "bacterial SSU rRNA". It matches the Rfam family "Bacterial small subunit ribosomal RNA", at positions 8 to 796 of the family's 1533-position model. The record is from RNAcentral.
AGAGUUUGAUCAUGGCUCAGAGCGAACGCUGGCGGCGUGCUUAACACAUGCAAGUCGAACGCGCAGCAAUCUGUAGCAAUACAGGUUGUAGGCGCGUGGCGAACGGGUGCGUAACACGUGGAUAACCUUCCUUCAGGUGGGGAAUAACCCAGUGAAAAUUGGGCUAAUACCGCAUAACAAAACGGGAAGACAUCUUCUUGUUUUCAAAGGCGCAAGCCGCCAGAAGAGGGAUCCGCGGCCGAUUAGCUUGUUGGCGGGGUAAUGGCCCACCAAGGCAAUGAUCGGUAGCCGGACUGAGAGGUUGGCCGGCCACACUGGAACUGAGACACGGCCCAGACUCCUACGGGAGGCAGCAGUGGGGAAUCUUGCACAAUGGGCGAAAGCCUGAUGCAGCAACGCCGCGUGGGGGAUGAAGCUUCUCGGAGUGUAAACCCCUUUCGACCCGGAAGAAAGCCCGCAAGGGUUUGACGGUACGGGUAUAAGAAGCCCCGGCUAACUACGUGCCAGCAGCCGCGGUAAAACGUAGGGGGCCAGCGUUGCUCGGAAUUACUGGGCGUAAAGGGUCCGUAGGCGGUGUGGCAAGUCGGUAGUGAAAUCUCUGGGCUUAACCCAGAGGCUGCUGCCGAAACUGCCGUGCUAGAGUGUGAGAGAGGCGAGUGGAAUUACGGGUGUAGCGGUGAAAUGCGUAGAUAUCCGUAGGAACAUCCGAGGCGAAAGCGGCUCGCUGGAUCACAACUGACGCUGAGGGACGAAAGCUAGGGGAGCAAACAGGAUUAGAUACCCCUGUAGUCC